Molecule: ribosomal RNA, 1172 nt
Filed under: uncultured bacterium
Lineage: Bacteria
Description: bacterial SSU rRNA
Rfam family: Bacterial small subunit ribosomal RNA
Source: RNAcentral
CGGCCCACCAAGGUGACGAUCAGUAGCCGACCUGAGAGGGUGAUCGGCCACAUUGGAACUGAGACACGGUCCAAACUUCUACGGAAGGCAGCAGUAAGGAAUCUUGCACAAUGGGGGAAACCCUGAUGCAGCAACGCCGCGUGAACGAUGAAGGCCUUCGGGUUGUAAAGUUCUGAUCUUGGGGAAGAAGAAAGUGACGGUACCCAAGGAGAAAGCCCCGGCUAACUACGUGCCAGCAGCCGCGGUAAUACGUAGGGGGCAAGCGUUAUCCGGAAUUAUUGGGCGUAAAGCGUGCGUAGGUGGUUACCUAAGCGCAAGGUUUAAUCUUGAGGCUCAACCUCAUUCUGCCUUGCGAACUGGGCUACUUGAGUGCAGGAGGGGAAAGCGGAAUUCCUAGUGUAGCGGUGAAAUGCGUAGAUAUUAGGAAGAACACCAGAGGCGAAGGCGGCUUUCUGGACUGUAACUGACACUGAGGCACGAAAGCGUGGGGAGCAAACAGGAUUAGAUACCCCUGGUAGUCCCACGCCCGUAAACGAUGAGCACUAGUUGUUGGGUCCGAAUGGAUUCAGUGACGCAGUUAACGCAAUAAGUGCUCCUGCCUGGGGAGUACGUUCGCAAGAAUAAAACUCAAAGGAAUUGACGGGGACCCGCACAAGCAGCGGAGCAUGUGGUUUAAUUCGAAGCAACGCGAAAAACCUUACCAGGGCUUGACAUCCCUCUGACAGGACCUUAACCGGUCCCUCCUUCGGGCAGAGGUGACAGGUGGUGCAUGGUUGUCGUCAGCUCGUGUCGUGAGAUGUUGGGUUAAGUCCCGCAACGAGCGCAACCCUUGUCGUCAGUUACUAACAUUCAGUUGAGGACUCUGGCGAGACUGCCGAGGUUAACUCGGAGGAAGGUGGGGAUGACGUCAAAUCAUCAUGCCCCUUAUGUUCUGGGCUACACACGUGCUACAAUGGUCGGUACAAUGAGAAGCAAAACGGCGACGUGGAGCAAAUCACCAAAACCGAUCCCAGUUCGGAUUGCAGGCUGCAACUCGCCUGCAUGAAGUCGGAGUUGCUAGUAAUCGCGAAUCAGCAUGUCGCGGUGAAUGCGUUCCCGGGUCUUGUACACACCGCCCGUCACACCAUGGAAGUUGGGGGUGCCCAAAGUUGGCAAAUAAUCUGUUACCUAAG